Molecule: ribosomal RNA, 496 nt
Filed under: uncultured bacterium
Lineage: Bacteria
Description: partial 16S ribosomal RNA
Rfam family: Bacterial small subunit ribosomal RNA
Source: RNAcentral
AUGAACGCUGGCGGCGUGCCUAAUACCUGCAAGUCGAGCGAACAGAUAAGGAGCUUGCUCCUUUGACGUUAGCGGCGGACGGGUGAGUAACACGUGGGUAACCUACCUAUAAGACUGGAAUAACUCCGGGAAACCGGGGCUAAUGCCGGAUAACAUUUAGAACCGCAUGGUUCUAAAGUGAAAGAUGGUUUUGCUAUCACUUAUAGAUGGACCCGCGCCGUAUUAGCUAGUUGGUAAGGUAACGGCUUACCAAGGCAACGAUACGUAGCCGACCUGAGAGGGUGAUCGGCCACACUGGAACUGAGACACGGUCCAGACUCCUACGGGAGGCAGCAGUAGGGAAUCUUCCGCAAAGGGCGAAAGCCUGACGGAGCAACGCCGCGUGAGUGAUGAAGGUCUUCGGAUCGUAAAACUCUGUUAUUAGGGAAGAACAAAUGUGUAAGUAACUGUGCACGUCUUGACGGUACCUAAUCAGAAAGCCACGGCUAACUACGUG